RNAcentral lists this ribosomal RNA (1377 nucleotides) under Staphylococcus aureus. RNAcentral's name for it is "partial 23S ribosomal RNA". It matches the Rfam family "Bacterial large subunit ribosomal RNA", at positions 1546 to 2925 of the family's 2925-position model. The record is from RNAcentral. Lineage: Bacteria; Bacillati; Bacillota; Bacilli; Caryophanales; Staphylococcaceae. RNAcentral also lists the same sequence under 2 other names.
CUCGUUAAGGCUGAGCUGUGAUGGGGAGAAGACAUUGUGUCUUCGAGUCGUUGAUUUCACACUGCCGAGAAAAGCCUCUAGAUAGAAAAUAGGUGCCCGUACCGCAAACCGACACAGGUAGUCAAGAUGAGAAUUCUAAGGUGAGCGAGCGAACUCUCGUUAAGGAACUCGGCAAAAUGACCCCGUAACUUCGGGAGAAGGGGUGCUCUUUAGGGUUAACGCCCAGAAGAGCCGCAGUGAAUAGGCCCAAGCGACUGUUUAUCAAAAACACAGGUCUCUGCUAAACCGUAAGGUGAUGUAUAGGGGCUGACGCCUGCCCGGUGCUGGAAGGUUAAGAGGAGUGGUUAGCUUCUGCGAAGCUACGAAUCGAAGCCCCAGUAAACGGCGGCCGUAACUAUAACGGUCCUAAGGUAGCGAAAUUCCUUGUCGGGUAAGUUCCGACCCGCACGAAAGGCGUAACGAUUUGGGCACUGUCUCAACGAGAGACUCGGUGAAAUCAUAGUACCUGUGAAGAUGCAGGUUACCCGCGACAGGACGGAAAGACCCCGUGGAGCUUUACUGUAGCCUGAUAUUGAAAUUCGGCACAGCUUGUACAGGAUAGGUAGGAGCCUUUGAAACGUGAGCGCUAGCUUACGUGGAGGCGCUGGUGGGAUACUACCCUAGCUGUGUUGGCUUUCUAACCCGCACCACUUAUCGUGGUGGGAGACAGUGUCAGGCGGGCAGUUUGACUGGGGCGGUCGCCUCCUAAAAGGUAACGGAGGCGCUCAAAGGUUCCCUCAGAAUGGUUGGAAAUCAUUCAUAGAGUGUAAAGGCAUAAGGGAGCUUGACUGCGAGACCUACAAGUCGAGCAGGGUCGAAAGACGGACUUAGUGAUCCGGUGGUUCCGCAUGGAAGGGCCAUCGCUCAACGGAUAAAAGCUACCCCGGGGAUAACAGGCUUAUCUCCCCCAAGAGUUCACAUCGACGGGGAGGUUUGGCACCUCGAUGUCGGCUCAUCGCAUCCUGGGGCUGUAGUCGGUCCCAAGGGUUGGGCUGUUCGCCCAUUAAAGCGGUACGCGAGCUGGGUUCAGAACGUCGUGAGACAGUUCGGUCCCUAUCCGUCGUGGGCGUAGGAAAUUUGAGAGGAGCUGUCCUUAGUACGAGAGGACCGGGAUGGACAUACCUCUGGUGUACCAGUUGUCGUGCCAACGGCAUAGCUGGGUAGCUAUGUGUGGACGGGAUAAGUGCUGAAAGCAUCUAAGCAUGAAGCCCCCCUCAAGAUGAGAUUUCCCAACUUCGGUUAUAAGAUCCCUCAAAGAUGAUGAGGUUAAUAGGUUCGAGGUGGAAGCAUGGUGACAUGUGGAGCUGACGAAUACUAAUCGAUCGAAGACUUAAUCAA